UACGAGAGGUCCAAGCGUUGUCCGGAGUUACUGGGCGUAAAGGGUGUGUAGGGGGUAGUGUUAGUCUCCGCUCAAAUUCUCGGGCCCAACUCGAGAGCUCGCGGGGAAACGGCACAACUAGAGGGCGUGAGAGGCCAGUGGAACUCAUGGUGGAGGGGUGAAAUCCGUUGAUAUCAUGGGGAACACCAAAGGCGAAGGCAACUGGCUGGCGCGUACCUGACCCUGAAACACGAAAGCGUGGGGAUCAAAAAGG
Molecule: ribosomal RNA, 253 nt
Filed under: uncultured bacterium
Lineage: Bacteria
Description: partial 16S ribosomal RNA
Rfam family: Bacterial small subunit ribosomal RNA
Source: RNAcentral